CAGCCGCCGCGGUAAUAUGUAGGGUGCGAGCGUUAAUCGGAAUUACUGGGCGUAAAGCGUGCGCAGGCGGUUCGUUAAGACAGAUGUGAAAUCCCCGGGCUUAACCUGGGAACUGCAUUUGUGACUGGCGAGCUAGAGUAUGGCAGAGGGGGGUAGAAUUCCACGUGUAGCAGUGAAAUGCGUAGAGAUGUGGAGGAAUACCGAUGGCGAAGGCAGCCCCCUGGGCCAAUACUGACGCUCAUGCACGAAAGCGUGGGGAGCAAACAGGAUUAGAUACCCCCGUAGUCCCUGUCUCUUUACU
This 301-nucleotide ribosomal RNA is filed under the name uncultured bacterium. RNAcentral describes it as "partial 16S ribosomal RNA". It matches the Rfam family "Bacterial small subunit ribosomal RNA", at positions 509 to 808 of the family's 1533-position model. The record is from RNAcentral.